GUGGCGAACGGGUGAGUAACACGUGAGUUACCUGCCCCGAAGUGGGAGAUAGCCCGGAGAAAUCCGGAUUAAUACCCCAUGUGGUCGAGAGACUAAAGGCGGCGCAAGCUGUCGCUUCGGGAUGGGCUCGCGGCCUAUCAGCUAGUUGGGGGGGUAAAGGCCCACCAAGGCGAUGACGGGUAGCUGGUCUGAGAGGAUGAUCAGUCACACUGGAACUGAGACACGGUCCAGACACCUACGGGUGGCAGCAGUCGAGAAUCAUUCGCAAUGGGCGAAAGCCUGACGGUGCGACGCCGCGUGGAGGAUGAAGGCCCUAGGGUCGUAAACUCCUGUCAUCGGGGAGUAAAGGCUUGCGCAGUAACUGGCGCGGGUCCUGAUAGUACCUGAAGAGGAAGGGACGGCAAACUUCGUGCCAGCAGCCGCGGUAAUACGAAGGUCCCGAGCGUUGUUCGGAUUUACUGGGCGUAAAGCGUCUGUAGGCGGCGCGGUAAGUCAGAUGUGAAAUCCCGGGGCUCAACCCCGGAACUGCAUUUGAUACUGCCGUGCUUGAGGGUCGGAGGGGAGUCUGGAAUUCUCGGUGUAGCAGUGAAAUGCGUAGAUAUCGAGAGGAACACUAGUGGCGAAGGCGAGACUCUGGACGACACCUGACGCUGAGAGACGAAGGCCAGGGGAGCGAAAAGGAUUAGAUACUCUUGUAGUCCUGGCAGUAAACGGUGCACGCUUGGUGUGGGAGGGAUCGACCCCUUCCGUGCCGGAGCUAACGCGUUAAGCGUGCCGCCUGGGG
RNAcentral lists this ribosomal RNA (784 nucleotides) under uncultured bacterium. Its description in RNAcentral is "bacterial SSU rRNA". It matches the Rfam family "Bacterial small subunit ribosomal RNA", at positions 95 to 878 of the family's 1533-position model. The record is from RNAcentral.